This 260-nucleotide ribosomal RNA is filed under the name uncultured Lactobacillus sp. RNAcentral's name for it is "partial 16S ribosomal RNA". It matches the Rfam family "Bacterial small subunit ribosomal RNA", at positions 103 to 354 of the family's 1533-position model. Lineage: Bacteria; Bacillati; Bacillota; Bacilli; Lactobacillales; Lactobacillaceae. The record is from RNAcentral.
UGGGUGAGUAACGCGCGGGUAACCUGCCCUUAAGUCUGGGAUACCAUUUGGAAACAGAUGCUAAUACCGGAUAAAAGCUACUUUCGCAUGAAAGAAGUUUAAAAGGCGGCGUAAGCUGUCGCUAAAGGAUGGACCUGCGAUGCAUUAGCUAGUUGGUAAGGUAACGGCUUACCAAGGCGAUGAUGCAUAGCCGAGUUGAGAGACUGAUCGGCCACAUUGGGACUGAGACACGGCCCAAACUCCUACGGGAGGCAGCAGGG